GCGGGCGUGGUGGAACGGUAGACACGCAAGGUUUAGGACCUUGUGGCUGUAAAGCUAUGGGGGUUCAAGUCCCUCCGCCCGCA
This 83-nucleotide transfer RNA is filed under the name Candidatus Levybacteria bacterium RIFCSPLOWO2_01_FULL_42_15. Its description in RNAcentral is "tRNA-Leu". It matches the Rfam family "tRNA". Rfam says of the family: Transfer RNA (tRNA) molecules are approximately 80 nucleotides in length. The record is from RNAcentral. Lineage: Bacteria; Candidatus Levyibacteriota.